Molecule: ribosomal RNA, 200 nt
Filed under: uncultured bacterium
Lineage: Bacteria
Description: partial 16S ribosomal RNA
Rfam family: Bacterial small subunit ribosomal RNA
Source: RNAcentral
GACGUAGGGCGCGAGCGUUGUCCGGAUUUAUUGGGCGUAAAGAGCUCGUAGGCGGCUUGUCGCGUCGAAUGUGAAAUCUCAGGGCUCAACUCUGACAUUGCAUUCGAUACGGGCAGGCUAGAGUCGGUAGGGGAGACUGGAAUUCCUGGUGUAGCGGUGAAAUGCGCAGAUAUCAGGAGGAACACCAGUGGCGAAGGCGG